GGGGUAGUGGCGGAAUAGAGACGCGGUGGCGGGUGCGCCAGUGAAACCGACUGGAAGUGCACUUCCUGGUCACCACCCGUAGGACGCACGGCCUACGUGCAGGUUCAAACCCUGCCUACCCCA
This 123-nucleotide transfer RNA is filed under the name Desulfatibacillum aliphaticivorans. RNAcentral describes it as "tRNA-Und (NNN) (tRNA-Und-NNN-1-1)". The record is from RNAcentral. RNAcentral also lists the same sequence under 1 other name. Lineage: Bacteria; Pseudomonadati; Thermodesulfobacteriota; Desulfobacteria; Desulfobacterales; Desulfatibacillaceae.